Hypanus sabinus (Atlantic stingray) is the source of this 818-nucleotide long non-coding RNA. RefSeq lists it as uncharacterized. The transcript is spliced from 2 exons. NCBI's taxonomy places the organism in Eukaryota, Metazoa, Chordata, Chondrichthyes, Myliobatiformes, Dasyatidae. The record is from RefSeq and is a predicted model, not a curated record.
GUGAGAGAGGCCAUGGAGUGGUAAGAACCUUCUGCGAGGCCGAGAAACUGGGCAUAACAUCCUGAUUUACAUUGCAACGGUCUAAAAGCCUCGACCGCCGCGAAUGGACGCUCCUGUAGUCAAAGCCAAACUGAAUUAACAAGUCGGUUUCUGAUCAGCGAACCUUUGAGUUCUGCCUUCCUCACAGCUCGGGUCUGCUGGCUAGAGGCCGAUGGCCCUUCAGUUCGGGGUUGACUGGGCUCCUCCUGGGCGGUUGGCGGUGAAUUGUCUCUCGCCCAUGUUUUAUAGACUUGUUUAACCAAUUUGAUAAGGUCGCCGAAAGAAGUAUUUAUAUUAGUUUAUCCCGCGUAACUCGAAGGGUUACAGGUGCAAGUGCACUUGGAGUUGGUUGGACUUUGCAAGUGCGCGCGGAAUGAACCGUUCCCGUUAUGGGGUGUGUUGGGAAAACAGUUAAUCGAAGUGGAAAUGCACCGUCUUUGUACAAUUAAAACGGGCAUUAGACAAUAUUUCAAUGUAGAAUAUGUGGAAGUGCAAAGCAGAAGUCCGGGCGGCGCUGGAGAGAAGAGGAAGAGGACCUUUGAUAGACAGUGCAGUCAUCCAUAAAGUAGAAAGCACUACUAAACCAUUCAACCCAGUGUAGUGUUUCCUACUUUAUGGAUGAGUGCACUGUGAGCUUCUGAGAGAAGACCUGCAAAGACACUUCAAGAAUUUUGAAGACUUUGGAAUUGAUGGCACAUUUUCUUUCAGUGUACCAUGCUGACUUUUAACCAAUUUUAUGUAUUUUGUACUCAUUUGAAUUAAACAAAACUUGGAUUCUA